AAAAGAUGUGGGAGUCCUCUGAGACAUCCAUGAUGACCACAACAUUGCGAGUCUGAGGUCCACAUCAUAAUCUAUGCACUGCAUGCUGGGAUCCUGGUGAGAGAUGUUAGGAAUAGUCUACUUUGAAAACAGUGAGUAAAUGUAGAUUAAAGAAAAAUUUGGAAAUCGUGUCUAUUAAAACAUAGUCAUAUAGGAAGAGUGCUAAUCAUCUUGACCGGGUAGUAUCUGAGUCAGAAACGAUGACAGAGGAAUCCCCAUCAGCCAUGGAAAAUCAUUGUCUAUGUUCCUGGUGACGUCACAGUCAUGGCGGUUUGAUGUGUCAGGAAGAGCCAAUCCAAGUGGAUUGAUAGCUCAAGCAAGGGAUUGGAUAGAGGAGAAGUGAUCAAGGCAGAUAGCUGUAAAUUAUGGAUGAGUGAAGAGAAAGUUAAUCUUUUUGUCAUUUUUUUUCUGCAUUUUACUCUCAGAAUAGAUACCUCCAAGGUGAUCUCCAAGUUCUUCCUCAGUCUUGAGGUUUGGGAUUCCUGGUUUGUGUCAGUAGAAUUGUGAGAGUGAUACAUACCUCCAAGGUGAUUUCAGAGUUCUUCCUCAGUCUUGAGAUUUGGGAUUCCCGGUUUGUGUCAGUAGAAUUGCGAGAGUAAUAGAUACCUCCAAGGUGAUCUCCAAGUUCUUCCUCAGUCUUGAGGUUUGGGAUUCCCGGUUUUUGUCAGUAGAAUUGUGAGAGUAAUAGAUACCUCCAAGGUGAUCUCCAAGUUCUUCCUCAGUCUUGAGGUUUGGGAUACCCGGUUUGUGUCAGCAGAA
This 798-nucleotide long non-coding RNA is filed under the name Rattus norvegicus (Norway rat). Its description in RNAcentral is "long non-coding RNA NONRATT024641". The stretch from base 1 to 63 matches the Rfam family "Small nucleolar RNA SNORD113/SNORD114 family". Lineage: Eukaryota; Metazoa; Chordata; Mammalia; Rodentia; Muridae. The record is from RNAcentral.